GUCCUAGUAGUAUAACCCAUUACCCCGGCCUUGUAAGCCAGAAACGGAGAACCCCUUCUCCCUAGGACC
RNAcentral lists this transfer RNA (69 nucleotides) under Perodicticus potto edwarsi. RNAcentral describes it as "tRNA-Thr". The record is from RNAcentral. Lineage: Eukaryota; Metazoa; Chordata; Mammalia; Primates; Lorisidae.